AACCCUAACUAAUAGACCCACGGCGUAAAACGUGUUUAAGAACAUUAAAUAAUUAAAGCCAAACUACAACUACGCUGUAAAAAGCCCUAGUCACUGUAAGCCCCACUACGAAAGUAGCUUUAAAUCCUCUGAAUACACGACAGCUAAGACCCAAACUGGGAUUAGAUACCCCACUAUACUUAGCCAUAAACCCAAAGAAUUAACACAACAAGAUUCUUCGCCAGAGUACUACUAGCCAAAGCUUAAAACUCAAAGGACUUGGCGGUGCUUCACAUCCUUCUAGAGGAGCCUGUUCUAUAAUCGAUAAACCCCGAUAAACCUCACCAACUCUUGCUAACU
Molecule: ribosomal RNA, 339 nt
Filed under: Tonatia saurophila (stripe-headed round-eared bat)
Lineage: Eukaryota; Metazoa; Chordata; Mammalia; Chiroptera; Phyllostomidae
Description: partial 12S ribosomal RNA
Rfam family: Bacterial small subunit ribosomal RNA
Source: RNAcentral